Long non-coding RNA from Polyodon spathula (Mississippi paddlefish), 166 nucleotides. RefSeq lists it as uncharacterized. Lineage: Eukaryota; Metazoa; Chordata; Actinopteri; Acipenseriformes; Polyodontidae. The transcript has 4 exons. The record is from RefSeq and is a predicted model, not a curated record.
AAGACAGGAGAGAUUCAGGAGAUUCAGAGAUGACAAUGAUCUUCAAGGAUCCAGAGGAAUUCAAAGCAGAGGAUACUUUUUAUUUAGGCCAAGGAACGGAAAGCGGUCAACAACCUGCCAAAAAGAUUUCUGUCUGUUUGGACACUUGUACAUAAAAUGAAUGGAG